This 491-nucleotide ribosomal RNA is filed under the name uncultured bacterium. Its description in RNAcentral is "partial 16S ribosomal RNA". It matches the Rfam family "Bacterial small subunit ribosomal RNA", at positions 29 to 506 of the family's 1533-position model. The record is from RNAcentral.
AGUGAACGCUGGCGGUAGGCCUAACACAUGCAAGUAGAACGGCAGCACAGUAAGAGCUUGCUCUUACGGGUGGCGAGUGGCGGACGGGUGAGGAAUACAUCGGAAUCUACUUUUUCGUGGGGGAUAACGUAGGGAAACUUACGCUAAUACCGCAUACGACCUACGGGUGAAAGCAGGGGAUCUUCGGACCUUGCGCGAUUGAAUGAGCCGAUGUCGGAUUAGCUAGUUGGCGGGGUAAAGGCCCACCAAGGCGACGAUCCGUAGCUGGUCUGAGAGGAUGAUCAGCCACACUGGAACUGAGACACGGUCCAGACUCCUACGGGAGGCAGCAGUGGGGAAUAUUGGACAAGGGGCGCAAGCCUGAUCCAGCCAUACCGCGUGGGUGAAGAAGGCCUUCGGGUUGUAAAGCCCUUUUGUUGGGAAAGAAAAGCAGCAGGUUAAUACCCCGCUGUUCUGACGGUACCCAAAGAAUAAGCACCGGCUAACUUCGU